CAGUCGCCGCGGUAAUACGAAGGGUGCAAGCGUUACCCGGAUUUACUGGGCGUAAAGGGCGUGUAGGCGGCCUGGGGCGUCCCAUGUGAAAGGCCACGGCUCAACCGUGGAGGAGCGUGGGAUACGCUCAGGCUAGAGGGUGGGAGAGGGUGGUGGAAUUCCUGGAGUAGCGGUGAAAUGCGCAGAUACCGGGAGGAACGCCGAUGGCGAAGGCAGCCACCUGGUCCACUUCUGACGCUGAGGCGCGAAAGCGUGGGGAGCAAACCGGAUUAGAUACCCCUGUAGUCCCUGUCUCUUAUCC
RNAcentral lists this ribosomal RNA (301 nucleotides) under uncultured bacterium. Its description in RNAcentral is "partial 16S ribosomal RNA". It matches the Rfam family "Bacterial small subunit ribosomal RNA", at positions 509 to 809 of the family's 1533-position model. The record is from RNAcentral.